Small nuclear RNA from Otolemur garnettii (small-eared galago), 108 nucleotides. The record is from Ensembl. Lineage: Eukaryota; Metazoa; Chordata; Mammalia; Primates; Galagidae.
GUGCUUGCUUUGGCAGCACAUAUACUAAAAUUGGAAUGAUACAGAGAAAGAUUAGCAUGCCCCCUGCGCAAGGAUGACACGCAAAUUCAUGAAGUGUUCCAUAUUUUU